AGACAGAGGACUAUAUAGAUGUUAGGACAACAGGACCAGACCAGACAGAGGACUAUAUAGAUGUUAGGACAACAGGACCAGACAGAGGACUAUAUAGAUGUUAGGACAACAGGACCAGACAGAGGACUAUAUAGAUGUUAGGACAACAGGACCAGACCAGACAGAGGACUAUAUAGAUGUUAGGACAACAGGACCAGACCAGACAGAGGACUAUAUAGAUGUUAGGACAACAGGACCAGGCAGAGGACUAUAUAGAUGUUAGGACAACAGGACCAGGCAGAGGACUAUAUAGAUGUUAGGACAACAGGACCAGACCAGACAGAGGACUAUAUAGAUGUUAGGACAACAGGACCAGACCAGACAGAGGACUAUAUAGAUGUUAGGACAACAGGACCAGACCAGGCAGAGGACUAUAUAGAUGUUAGGACAACAGGACCAGACAGAGGACUAUAUAGAUGUUAGGACAACAGGACCAGACCAGACAGAGGACUAUAUAGAUGUUAG
RNAcentral lists this long non-coding RNA (504 nucleotides) under Salmo salar (Atlantic salmon). RNAcentral's name for it is "lncRNA (ENSSSAG00000089068.1)". Lineage: Eukaryota; Metazoa; Chordata; Actinopteri; Salmoniformes; Salmonidae. The record is from RNAcentral.